RNAcentral lists this ribosomal RNA (250 nucleotides) under uncultured bacterium. Its description in RNAcentral is "partial 16S ribosomal RNA". It matches the Rfam family "Bacterial small subunit ribosomal RNA", at positions 524 to 773 of the family's 1533-position model. The record is from RNAcentral. RNAcentral also lists the same sequence under 1 other name.
UACGGAAGGUCCAGGCGUUAUCCGGAUUUAUUGGGUUUAAAGGGAGCGUAGGCUGGAGAUUAAGUGUGUUGUGAAAUGUAGACGCUCAACGUCUGAAUUGCAGCGCAUACUGGUUUCCUUGAGUACGCACAACGUUGGCGGAAUUCGUCGUGUAGCGGUGAAAUGCUUAGAUAUGACGAAGAACUCCGAUUGCGAAGGCAGCUGACGGGAGCGCAACUGACGCUUAAGCUCGAAGGUGCGGGUAUCAAAC